UACGUAGGGGGCUAGCGUUGUUCGGAUUCAUUGGGCGUAAAGGGUGCGUAGGCGGCGUGGUAAGUCGGAUGUGAAAUCUCGGAGCUUAACUCCGAAACUGCAUUCGAUACUGCCGUGCUUGAGGACUGGAGAGGAGACUGGAAUUUACGGUGUAGCGGUGAAAUGCGUAGAUAUCGUAAGGAAGACCAGUGGCGAAGGCGGGUCUCUGGACAGUUCCUGACGCUGAGGCACGAAGGCCAGGGGAGCAAACGGG
This 253-nucleotide ribosomal RNA is filed under the name uncultured bacterium. RNAcentral's name for it is "partial 16S ribosomal RNA". It matches the Rfam family "Bacterial small subunit ribosomal RNA", at positions 524 to 776 of the family's 1533-position model. The record is from RNAcentral.